Molecule: non-coding RNA, 71 nt
Organism: Phrynosoma platyrhinos (Desert horned lizard)
Lineage: Eukaryota; Metazoa; Chordata; Lepidosauria; Squamata; Phrynosomatidae
Source: the annotation of a GenBank genome assembly
GCCAGCAUGGUGUAGUGGUUUGAGCAUUGGAUUACUACUCUGAAGAUCAGGGUUCAAUUUCCUGCUUGGCC